Molecule: long non-coding RNA, 1790 nt
Filed under: Sus scrofa (pig)
Lineage: Eukaryota; Metazoa; Chordata; Mammalia; Artiodactyla; Suidae
Description: lncRNA (ENSSSCG00060049203.1)
Source: RNAcentral
CUGCCUAGUGCUCACCUCGGACUGUGUGGUGAAGGCGGGAUCCUGCCCAUUGGUUUACAGCACUUGCAGAAAAUCCACAUGUUAUCAUCUGCCUGAGUGUAAACGUUCCCGACCAAUUAUCUACGUGUUGAUUGAGAUAAUUUUCCUGGAUCCUAUUUGUCACCAUGUAACGUACAGAGCAGAACAGGAUGCAGGCAGCACCUAUGUCGAAGGAGAGUGUAUUGCACCAGGAAGGAAGAGCCCAGAAAGGAAAGUCCACCCACGUCCUCUCUACCUGGCAUCAUUCCUGGGGGCCCGUGAGUGUCCUGGUGUGAUACCCUGCUUUUAGGCUCUGCAUGCAUCAGAAUUACAGGAAAGCAAGGAGCCACGACCCUGGCAGUGUCUGCCAACCUAACAGCAAGCAAGGACUGAGAUUCCAAAGGAGGAAGCAAGUCUAUGAUUCCCUCUGCUUAAAGCCAGUGUGGUAUGUCUGAACCUGCUUGAUUUUUUUCAAUAUUUGGACGAGAACAAUCAGGAAUUGAAAUCGUAAAUUAGUCUAUGUCUACUGUGCAUGACACUAAUUUUUCUUCCUGUCUCAGAGGGCCUUUGUGUUGCAGAGCCUGUAGUGUAAGCACAGAAUCAUGUGUCCAAAGAGGAUCCCCAGGGAGAUGCUACAUGGAGAGGCAGCCCCAGACCCUGGCAGGAAACCAGCCCUUCACCUCCCUCUGCACCUGCUCCUGGGCAUGAAGCACACACAUAGUGAUUGUGGGUCUUGAGUGCCCCCUGCAGCCCAUACCCUGUGUCCCUGCAGAGAGGUUUUUGUCUGGGCUGACAUGCCUUCCCCUCACUGUGCCUGUUGCACAGUAAUACCGGGCCGUGUCUUCGGUUCUCAGGCUGUUCAUUUGCAGAUAGGCCGGGUUCUGGGAGUUGUCUCUGGAGAUGGUGAAUCGGCCCUUCACAGAGUCUGCGUAGUAGGUGCUACUACCACUAGUACUAAUAGCUGCCAGCCACUCCAGCCCCUUCCCUGGAGCCUGGCAGACCCAGCUGAAAGCGUAGUCACUGAGGUCGAAUCCAGAGCCGACACAGGAGAGUCUCAGAGACCCCCCAGGCUGCACCAGGCCUCCUCCAGACUCCACCAGCUUCUCCUCACCCUGGAUUUACCUUGUAAGAGAGCAAACAAGACCACCCAGUUCGGCCGAAACUCCAUGGAGGGUGGUCUGUGUUCUUUCCGGAUCACAGAACGGGAUCCUGGGGCUGGGCUCCUUGCCAGAGCUGCAGGGUCAUGGCAGGGCUGGUUUUAUCUGCUGAGGGAGGAACCCAUUUGCAUGGCCUCCUAGUAUAUAAGCGGCUAUGGCAUCGCAUGACCCUGAAAGGGCCCUUCCCAAGAGAAGGUGUGCGUGUCUUGCCGUUGGUUGUGCCGAGAGCCUUUAGGGAAAUAUGUUUUCGUUAUGUCACUUUCUUCACAGGAAGCACAUAUGCACAUGUGCUAUGCUGAUUGCACACUUGCACAGGCCCCUCUGGUGUAGAAGUCGUUGUGUUCCUCUUACUCGAGGGGUUAACUUCAACUGGGCACGUAGAGGGUGUGCGGAGGGUCCGGGGACACACACGUGCUGGGAGUCCCUCCUCGGGUCGGCACUCGAGGUCUUCCUGCUGAACACUCCGCUGCCCUGGGCAGUUCCAGGACAGAGUGGGCAUGCCUGGAGGGGCGGGCAGACCCCUCCCUGAGGAGAACAUGAUGACAUUGUUCUGUGGUAGCGUUUUCCUGGAAAUUUAUCAUCAGGAUUCGUGGGAAAAGCACAACGGUCUCUAAA